RNAcentral lists this long non-coding RNA (1771 nucleotides) under Solanum tuberosum (potato). RNAcentral describes it as "long non-coding RNA (STUB_LNC005223)". Lineage: Eukaryota; Viridiplantae; Streptophyta; Magnoliopsida; Solanales; Solanaceae. The record is from RNAcentral.
UCAAAUAUCUAGUAAAUUUGCAAUUCAAGCCAGAGAACAUCAAGAAGAUCAGUUCAAUCAGUGACUACCCUAAAGCUUUUGAGAAGGGAGAAAUUUCUGCUGCUUUCGUUGUAGCUCCACAUGCCAAAGUUUUCCUUGCCAAGUACUGCAGAGGUUACACCAAAUCAGGACCUGUCUUUAAACUUGGUGGUUUUGGUUUUGUAAGAUCAAGAAUUCAUCUUUUUAACUUUUCAAUCUGCCUAUCUCCAUCUUCACAGAUUAAUUUCACAUAUGCUCACUGAACUUUGCUCAGUAUAACAGUAAAUUUACAACUUUUGUCAUUUUAUGAACUUUACCUACUAUAACAACAAAGUCAUUAAUCAAUUUUCUGUCACGGAGUAACAAAACUUCACCCACUAUAACAUUGAAGUCAUUGAACUUUACAGAAAGUCCCUAGACGGAUAGAUUUUAAAGUUUCAAUGGAUAAUGUUUAGUAAUUAUAAUGUUAUAGUGGGUUGAAUUCAGUUACUAUAAUUUGACAAAGAAAAUUUAGCGUCUUUACAAUUAUAAUAGCUAAGAUUUAGUGAUUUUACUGUUAUAGUUACUUAAUUAUGACAAAUUAUAAUUUAGUUACUUAAUUACAAUGGACAAAGGUGAGUGACCAUAAGCAACAUUAACCAUUUUGUCAGCCUAAAUUUUUAAACUAGUUUCUUUAUGACAAUUUGAUGUUUUAAUCUAUCAGGUUUUUCCAAAGGGUUCUCCUUUAGCAGUUGAUAUCUCCGAAGCUGUUCUUAAACUCUCACAGAGUGGAGAGAUAAAUCAACUAGAAGAACAAAUGCUUAUUUCAACAAAUUGCUCUUCUUCAUCAGCUGAGGAGCAGCUUUUUGGAUUAGGACAAGAGUUGUUCUCUGGUCCAGUACUGAUUUCAGGUAUUAUAUGUGGAAUUGUAUUUUUGAUCUCAAUCGCUCGUUUAGUCAGAAAACACUGGCUAUAUUUAAGCUCUAUAAUUGCAAAUAGUGCAAAUAUAGUUCUUAGAUGGACUUCUCUAGUUAAAAAUUGCAACACUGUGAUUGACCAAAGACCAAAUAUUCAACAGAAUGUUGAAAUUACAGAGGUUGUUUGAUGAACCAGAAACUGGAAAAUCAUGGACAGCAAUUGAUCAGCAGCUACUUUUCUCUUGUCUAAUAAACAAUCUAAUGCUCUUUGUAAAUAUAUUAUUUUCUUCCUUAUACGUAAUUUCUGUAUCAUUCACAUGUACUGUAUAAUCCUAUUUUAGAAAUAAACGCACACACAUAGAGCAAUACAUAUAUAAAUCAGUAAACAAGUCUAACAUUAAGCAGAUUCUGAAAGAGAAGCAAAAUUGAGACCUUACUUUCCAGAAUGAAGAAUCAAACUCGGGUCCUCCUAAUCGACCCAACCCUCUCCAUCUCCAACUUCAUCACCGGACUCCUCCUCACCGGCUGAUAACGUCUCCAACUCCGGCGAAAUCACCGACUGCUUUACCAUUUGCGGAAGAAGAUUAGUAUAAAGAAGUAAGCUGUGGGCUAAUGAAUUAAGGGUGACAAAAGAGUUUCAAAAUAAAGAAAAAGUGACACAAGUUUUAAUUAUUGAGUAUACGUGACAAUUUUAAGAUCGAAAAAGGGUCAUAUUUGCCCUUGUACUCUCAGAAAAGGGUUAUAUUUGCCCUUUGUUAUACUUUUUUGAUAUAUUUGCCCUUGCCAUCCAACUUAAGGUACAUAUUUGCCCUUCAACCGUUAAGUUUCAUAUCUCAAAUUUUAUCAUCCUAUGUGGC